Molecule: long non-coding RNA, 27947 nt
Filed under: Brachypodium distachyon (stiff brome)
Lineage: Eukaryota; Viridiplantae; Streptophyta; Magnoliopsida; Poales; Poaceae
Description: long non-coding RNA (BDIS_LNC004176)
Source: RNAcentral
CAUCAGAUAAGCUUCCAGUACCACUGCAGCCCCCAAAAAUAAGCUCCUCUACUCACCCACUCAAAUGCACUGAAACCAACACGAAACAAGACCAAAACACAAGGAAAAUCAAACUGUUGGCUCCUCCAUUACCAGUGCUCCUUUCCAGUUGCUCUCCGAAGGAUAUCACCGGUAUCGCCGAGGCAAAGAAUAUGUAAGUGGUUGGCGCUAGGAUCCUGAAAACAUGGCACAAAGGAAGUUCAACUCAAGAUCUUGGGCCAAUAAACACAAUGCUAGAAGAAGAGCAAAAAAAAGAUUAUCUCGAGCUUCCCAUCAACAGCAGGUUUCCAUUUCAAGAUCUUGGCGCAUAACAGCAAAGACAAGAACACAAUGCCAAGAAGAGAAGACGGAUUUACGCGAAGAACGACUUGUGUAAUUAUAAAUACCUGAUACCGGCACGGAAGCCUCCGGUCCAAUCCUGCUUGUAGCAGGUGAGCCUCCCGCGGAGGUCAUUCUUGAUGCCCCGGAGGGGCACGAAGCUCUCCUCCAUUUCCCCAAAAGGGAGGCCUCAGCUUCGCUUUCUCUCAAAGGAAUCCAGAUUCCAGAGAGUAUAUUCAGAUGGCCACCAGCUAGGUGUUGAACGAGAGACCCAGAUUACAUCUUGCGGCAGACGGUGCCAGGUGAAAUGCUAGGAAUUUGCGAGCUCCCGGUGCAUUAAUUUAGCGCGGAUCCAUGGAGGAAGAUAAGGAGCCAAGGCUACAAAGGGAAGUAUAGCCCAGGGAGCAUAGAGAGCAGCAGGAUUGGCGAGUGUCUGAGCGAGUGAGAACGAGAGGGCAGGACGAAGCUUCAGAAGCUACUGGACUGGGAUAGAGGGCUGCUCCUAUAUAGACAGUGCUGGGGCCUGGGAGAGAGAGGCAGCAGGAAGGCAUCACUGUCAUGUCCUAAAAAGAAUUUCCUGACACGAAAAAUGAAGAUGUAAACCUUUUUUUCUUUUGCAUUAGAAAAGAAAAAUGCAUUGCUCAAGAGCUGAUCAGGGGUUGAGGAUGACCCGGAGGAAAAGAUAUACUUAACUUGGGAGUGGAGAGUCAUAAGAUAAUUUGGAACGGAGGGAGUAGCAUAAGAUACUCGUGGGUUUGUUUGGGUCCAAGCCAUGUUCAUAGCUUCAUAAACGGGAGUAAAUUUUUGAUUUAUUAAGACAAAUUUUUGAUUAACAGAUUCCGAACCAGAUGUUCACGUGAGGUCAGAGAUGUUCGUCGGAGCUUGAUGAAUGGUAAUAUUUUUGAUUUAUUAAACUCUGUUAGUCUGCAACUGAUUUUAAUGCACAAUUAUUUUGGCUUGGCUCUGGAAGGCCAGUGCCAGUCCAGCUCUAGCUGUCUGUCUGGCUGAAGGAAGGACCCAGCCGGCUUCCUCUGACCAUUUUUACUAAUAAUCUCAUGUGCUCCGUCCUAUAUAUUAUAAUUUUCAUAAGAUAUGUUAAGGAAUUCAUUUAUACUGGAUUUAAGGUAGAAAGGCAGCAACUUUUUGCAGAAUGUUCAUGUGCGUCUGUAUACCUUUUCCAACUAAGACUUCCGUAUGUAUGUGCAAAAAAAAAAAAUAGACCUCAUAUUUAGUUAAUAUAGAACUGCAUGAGAACUCAUGGACGCCGUUGCCAAUUAUUAAGCUUUUCAAGAAACUGCUAAUCUAUAUGGAACAGCAGCUUUCAGCAGUAUAACUCUUCACCUUUUUGUAUAUUCAAAUGAGUAACCUCUUACUCCCUCCGAUGCAUAAUAAGUGUGCUGAUCACAGGGAGUAUUAGUUACUACAGGAGAGCUUACUUAUAAUAUGAUGAUUGACAUUAUAUUCAGGAUAUGACCAAGGGACAAAUGCUCUCACCAACAUUCCGAGGCAUAUAUACCUGCCAGUUGAUGCAUCAUGUAAUUAAGUGUAAGCUGUAAUUAACUUCUGGAAGCAUCAUGCCAGCAGCUAUUCUGUAACUGCUGCAAAGCCAGCAAAAUAAUAAUUUUUAUUUACCUAUUACAAGACAUCAUGAUUUAUGACCAUGCAUGUACCCCCGCUAUCCAGAUCCCAACAAAUAUAAGGGGGGCUAGUAUAAUAGCAAUAUUCUCAACCUACUGUCUGCUACUUGAUCAGUCACAAAUCAAAACUACUUGGCCUCAGCAUGUGCACAUGCAUUAUUUUUUCUUUAAAAACAUCCAGUACUUAUAGUUCGUAAAAAAAAAUAGCGUGCAUAAGGUGACAGGAUCAGCUCCUUGAAACCUGCAUCCUGUUCAUGUCUGUGGAAUCUUCCAUUAAGAAAUCAGGUUUUGAGAAACCCUAAAAACUGAAGUUUGCUUCUGUCAUACAAUGUCGUAAAGUUGACCUUAAUUUUGUCCGAACAUGAGUGAUUGUACCUGGAGUAACUUUAACAAAUCUAAGUUCUUUCUUUGGCUCUGUUGUGGAGUUAUCCGAGGAAUUUCUGUCUUGUCGAUGAAUUUAUUAGAUAAUAUGGAAAUAUGAGUACCUUUUCUAUAUUGAAAAACAAGGUUAUUGGGGCAAGUGGAUUUGAUGGGGCUAAUCUGGUGGUGGUGUUACUUUGUUUUAGAUCAAACAUGAAUGUCUACUAAAUCUCUCUUUGGUGCUGACAGAGUAAGAUACAUGGGUGUGGGUCAUGGAUCCUGCACCUGCACUUUAGUGUGACCUAACUAACCAUCACCCGACACAUUUAGGGUUUGUAAAAGCAUGUCAGCCUUCCUGAUAAAAGUAGUUAGUGCUUAAAUCUAUCCAGAUAUCACAUCUUCAAAAUAUGAACUGAAAUACCAAAGUUUAUUCCUCGAGAAAAAGAACAAAGAAUAAUAGAGUAGGAGUCUUUUUUAGUUAAAAAAGAGGUCGAAAAUAAACGAAAAGCCUCGGAAAUAGGGUGAGCACAAAAGCCUUUUCCCGGCGGGUGCUUGGCACCGGCAAUAAGCCCAGGCCUCAAUUUUUACGCGCCCAAAUAUAAUCGAUGUCAGGGUUGGAACUUUAGGGAAGACCAGAGCGUUGCGCUCUUUCCAAAUCUCGAACGAGACAAGCAUGAUGAUCGAGGUGAUCGCUUUCCACUUGUGUCGCCGGUCUGAAGAGAAACCAGAUCACGCAUGCAUAUUCCUUUCCGUUGGUGUCGAAAAACAAAGUCCAGGAAAGUUACCUAGCGAUGUAUUUUCCUUUAACAACACCUCUCCCUAACUUAGUUGAAAGAUCAACACCUAAGAAAGAUAAUAAAUAAGAUAACACUUUAACAAAGUCUGGUUGGCCACUCAUGCGCACGUGCAAUGGUGCUUCUACUGGUUUUUCUUUUCUAACAGAGCUUUCAGUUAAACUAGAUUUUUUAUGGCCAUUUAGAAAAAGGCUACAAUGACGCUAGCUUGCACUGACUUGAAGAUGAAAUGCACUAUCGACCUUUUUUUUUGUUAAUUAUAGGUUAUAUUGACAUGGCUUAGAUAAUAUGCAUGGCAACUUUGGUCCUAUGCAUUUCCGCAAAAUUUCAAAUCUUUAACAUCACUUUCACAAGAUUUUUACUAAUCUAGAGAUUUAUAUUUACUCCCUCCGAUCCAUAAUAAGUAUCUCGAUUUUGCACUGACUUUUCCGAUCCAUAAUAAGUGUCUCAGAUUUUGUACUAAGUUGUACUAACUUAGUACAAAAUCUGAGACACUUAUUAUGGAUCGGAGGGAGUAUUUGUUUAGGGGGAACGGGGAAUAAGUCAGAAACAAACCAGGAAAUGGCUGUCAAACUUUGAUACUCCCUCUAUUCAGGAAUGUUUAGAGAACGAGAACCUUUGGUUUGCAGUCAAACCUCUCUAAUUUUGACUACAGAUGUAUUAAAAAAAACAUGUUUAGAUUGGUCAUGUCAAAAUGUUCUCAAGAUAUAACCAUUUUUUACAUUUUUAAGAACACCUAAAUUAAGUUGCACAUUGGAGAAAUGGCAAUGUCUAAAAUGUCAUGUAUUCGAAAAGUUUGCUAUUAUACCGCUGCUACUAAAAUUUGAUUAAUCAGAGAAAAGCUAGAUGUUUCCAUGGCGAUGUAAUGAAGAGCUAAAUUUUCUCAUGAUAAAGGAAAGAUAGACACACAAUUGUCAUAAAUAGUCAAGAGCCAUUCUCAAAUCUCUUUGCUAUUCUCCCAAUUUUACCGAACUUCCUGCUGUUACUACUCACUACCUGUACUAUUUGUCAAAAGAUAAUCCUAAUUUUAGCUUUAUAUAUCUUUCCUUUUAAUAGUAGAAUAUAACUUACCUCCUAGAAAUGUUAGGUAGAUAAACCAUUCCGUUCUUGUGUCACCUACGCUAUUGUUUGGCAGACUAUUUAUCAGCAUGUGCUGGCAUCUCCAUUCUCCAUGCUGAAUAAGUACUUCUCAUCACGAUGAAGUACUCGAUUCCAAGCUCCUCUGAAGAGAGCAAACCUGACUUUUCAUGAUUCCAAACUUCUAUUUUGGGCCCCCUCAUUAAUAUUCACAUGUUCUGCAUUGCGCCAUAAAAAUGCACGGUGUGCAGAGAGUUCACAUGGGCAGAAAUUUUGCCGAAACAAGUUCAUGGAUCUUGCUGUAUGAUAAAUACCAAGUUAAUGGUGGCCUAUUAAGAUUUCGGAAAGGGUGGCAAUCAUCCAUGAUUAUGCGCCUGUUGAUCCCCAGAAGUUGUGAUGUCUGCUUUUCUGAUGAUUACUGAUCGACUGAACUCUCCUCUGUCACAUGAUGUCCAAGAAAUAACAAAGAUGGAAGCACAUUCUGCACACAUGUCCGUUUCAAUUUUCUAGGUUUUAGUUUUCUAGUUAUUGUUGAUUGCCUGGCUAGACAACUUUUGAAGAUGUAAGUUUAAGUUUCCCUGAUGAUGACUAAGCUCUCCACUCCACUAUAACAUUAUCAAAUUGAAAAUGUCCUAGAAACUGAGGAGAUGACAGCAUGAAAAAGCUUCUAGGAUCCCAACUCAUGAUUCCAGAGGCCAAUUUUUUUAGUCUUGUUUGGCCCGCCUUUUCGCCCUUUCGGUCAGAUAAGACCAUGGGCUAAGGUGACUGCUUAGCUUUUGGUAAGCAGGAACAUAGCAGCCUCAAGAAAAUAUCUCUGAUCAGGAGGGCAAAUCUAAAGCUACGAUUUCGGAUUCUUGUCACGGCAAAGGAAACAGAAAUAUCUUGUUUUCUCAGCUCCAACCUCUGCAAGAAUAUGUGGUGUUUUACUAGGAUGGGACUUAUCUAAAUGAUCUGGUAACAGUUUUUUUUAAACCAAUAAAGCAAGGCUCUAUGCAAGCUUGCGUUGGUUAAUGACAUCAGUUGUCAAGCAACCAUAUAAGUUCAGUAUAACAUGAUAGUUUUUUUUGCGUAUUUUUUACUUUCUUGUUUGCUCGUGUAAAAUGAAACCAGUAAUUACCUAUGAACUUCCUGUUAGGAAAGAUCUUCAUAUGAACCAUCAAAAUUGUCAAGUACUUGGCAGUUAAUUAUAAGGAACAUUACAGUAAUUAUCCAUUGCUUUUAGCACGAACAUCCUAGUAUGGGAUAAUUUAUUUCCAAAAAAAUAGCUAGAUAGUGGCCUGUCUGUCAGCAACCACCAAGUCAUCAACUGGCGUUCCUUUUGUCAGCCUCAUAGCCUACCAAAACAAAAAACAAACAGCUCUUCUUGUAAAAUAUAGAUUUAGAAAUCAAAUGCAGGCAUAAUAAACAAACUGAUCCUGUUUUGUACCCUAUCUCAUUUAGGAAAGAUGCCAAAAAAUAUUUUAUUUAGUCCCCUUGCCUCUUUACUAUCUAGGGGAUCGCUAGGUGGUUACUCAACUUAUAUAUCUAAGAUGCAAUGAGUCCUGAAAAGGUGAAAGUAAACCAAGCAUAUCUCAGAUUGGUUCGAUGCAAAGCAUAUGUUGAUUUAUUUACCUAACUGUGGCGGUGGGAUUGCGAUAUAUUUCUCAAUAUAAGUUCAAGCCAAUUUUAUUAAGAAGCUUCAUGGUACAUCACUGUAUGCACCAAUAUUCACAGUGUCCACAACUCAGGGGGUUAUACAAGUCAUGAUUUCACCUAAUAACAUAAUAACACUUGCCAUGAGAGUUGAGCAGAGAAGAUUGUUUACCUAACUGUGGCGGUUGGAUUGCAACAUAUUUUGGAAAAUAAUUCAAGCUUAGCUUCAUGAUAGAUAAAUAUAUGUAUCAUUAUUCACCGGAUCGACAGCACGGAAGGUCGUACAAGUUAUGAGAUCAGCCAAGACUUCUCUCCAAUCCUAUGAACAAGAUAGCAUACUAAAACUUGAUAGGGAACUUUAUCAGAGCAUUUACUGUGCAAGACAGUGCCAUUUCUCUGACAAAUAUGAUAGCUGUGCAGUUUCUGUUUUGGUUUCUUGUAGCUUUUCUUAGCUUUCUCUCUUCUUGUACUUUCUUUCCUUUUGUAUUUGUUUUAUUUGGUUUGUAUGAAUUCUCGUCUUCUUAAAGAUUUAUUCUAAUGAAAAUGACGCACACUUAGGUGUAGGCUCGAUUUUUUUUUAUUGGGGCAUCCUCCUGUAGGAGCAGCUUCAGAUAUAUCAGACACGGACAAUGAAGGAGUGUGAAAUGCUGAGAUGUCUUGUGCCAGUUUUUUUUUUUUUUAAUCUUUGGUCCCUCUGCUACGACCUCUACAUGUAUAGUUUUUGCAGUGAUGGAAAUAAUGGAGAUUUUUCUUACAGAAGUAACGAAACUUGAAGCCUAGAAAUAUUAUAUUAUUUAAUUCCCAGAGUUAUGCCAUACUUAGGAUUAUGUUGUUUAACCUAUCCAAUGCCCAUGCUGUCAAAGAUUAGAUGCACCAAUCUGCUUAAUAAUCAUAUGAUAGCAGAGUAAACAAUCUUUUCUGUUUCCUUAAAUAAACAAUCUUCUCACACUUUUGUCAGGAAGAACUUAGGUAACUAUCAUAUCAAGUAUUAUAAUGCCACAAAUAAUUCAUGACAGAUUUGGCAUAGUGCAUUCCUAUAAUCUGAGAGUUAGUUGCUGAACUGUCUGACAACCAUGACCAGGUUCAGUGUUCUUCUCUGUUUGUCAGAUUACUGUACCAUUUGCAUUACUCUACACAAUAUCAAUGAGUAGUACAGUCUACCAUUACUAGCAUUUCCAUAUAUGGUAAUGAUGUGUCAUUGCCUGAAGCCUCACGCAACCCCUUCGAAUAUUCGAUGUAUUUGCGCAUCCUUCAGAAGUCAAUGGCAAUAAUACUGAACUGAUGGACACUUCAGAAACAUACAGACUGACAGACAAUGAAUCUCAUCUGCCCUCCAGUAUCUGUGCACUCUUGAAUCUCUUCAUUGGGUGGUACAUCCUUGUUCUGUCUCUGGCACCCAAAUUGUCCGCAAACCAGGGCACGUCUCUGCUAUAUGUGUGACAAGCAAUGCAUCAAUGCUUUGCCUUCAGUUUCAACACCUAAAGCCUAAUUUCCUGCAAGCCUUUGGCAGUGGCUCUGUACGAUGGCAAAUCAGAAGCCUGAAUGAUAUAUUCAUGUCAGUGGCUCAGUGCUUGACAUGAAAGAAAGCUCAGGUUAACUCUUUUCUGAAAGCGAAUAAAGCGAUAUCUUUCCUAGGAUACUUAUCUUUUUACCUUUAGGCCUUUUUUGCUGAUUGACACACCCAAAGAUCAUAGCAAUGUCAUAAGAAGUCACUGUUAUUUAUCAUGAUUUAUCCAUUCUCACUGUUGAGAUAAGCAGGAUUUGUUUUGGAGGUUACAGGUAACCAGAAUGUUGACCAAUGAUGCAAUCUUUCCUAUAAAGAAGCACUAGAGAACAGUCUAAUCUUGAUGCCUAGAAACCAACAAGAAUUAGGAUGACUGACACCAUAAACCAACAGUGCCUGAGUUGAGUACUCUGAUGAGAAAAAAGGUGCACCGUCCAAGGUCACCAUAUGUCAUACUAUAACCCGAUCAUUGUCUGGUUAUCUAGGCUUUCUAGCCUUUCAUGUACCUGGCCUAACGCCUACGAGGUUCAUCACUUUAUGCCGGGAUGUGCAAACCGUAGAUGCUUUAAAUUACAGCCGUGUAGUUUUACACAGAAACUAAAUUUGGCCUUUAAUCGAGCACAACUAUGUAACUGAACACAAAAUCCACAGAUUUUCCAUUGUAGUUCAUGAAAUUUGAUGAUAUUCCUGUCAAGUUGUGAACAACAUGAAGGAUAUUGAUCACGUGACUCUUAUUAGAGUAAGUGUAAGGCAGGAAAAGUGAGGUAUUUCAUAGAUUUGUUUGAAGGACUCUUGCCACAGCUCCAUUUGAACAAUAGAACUUUGCUGCCGACACCGUAUCACGUAUUCGUCAAAUAUGUCAACUCGAGUUUCCUCCAGUGAAGAGCUCUUUUACAAUACCUGAAAUAAACAUGAGCCGUCCAUUUAUGUCAAUCGGAUGGAUGAUUUUUGUUGGUACUCCAUUACAGAUAGAGAGGAGUACGACUUCUGAGUACCAUAAGAUUAGGGGUAAAAUGAUAAUUAAAAGAUAAUUACUCAGGACUUUCGUGAUUAAGAAAACCCUAAGAAAAUACCUACCCAAUCCAUUCGGUUCUAUUCUCCUCUGGCCGGAGAGGCGGCGGUUGCUUGAUUAGCCUGCCGGCCGGCGAACUAAGAACAGAUCACAUACUUGAACUAGCGGAAUCGAUCAUGGACACCAACGUACAACUUUGAAUGUGAUGGGGGUUUUAAACGGUGCAUGCAAUCCCGACUAUACUAUCCAGUAAAAUUGUGGUCUCCGCCGGCUUGAUGGUCAUGAUGGUAGAUUUCAGAUCUCUAUGCCCGACGUUAUUCAUGCAAGGCUGCAUCAACGACGAUUAUAGGGUUGGAUCCGAUUAAUUUGAAACCUAAAUGUGCCUUGGGAGCUUCUACGUCGGGAGGAUCAAACGGCGGCCGGCGGCCGGCGGAUCUGCUCGAUUCUGGAAGAAGGGUCCCAGGAAAUUGCCCACGGAUCUGCGGUUGACGAGGGUCACAUGGCAAUUGUCUAAUAUACCCUUUUUUUUAGGGAAACUAAUAUACCCUCUUAGAUGAAGGGUCAGAUUUAUUUGGUACUCCGGUUCUCAUCAUGGAGUACUAGGGUACCGUAAAAACUAUCCCAGUGAAAGGGAAGUUGCGAAGCGCAAUUCCAGCCUAUUAUAACCAGUCAAGCUUUCACUCCCCAUGAGUUCCAUCCACAUUUUCCAACAGCAGUGUGUUGAUCUUGUUCGAGACUCGCAUGAUUUGUUUGUUUCACUCCAUAUCUCACUUCAUUUCUCCAUUUGCAGCUGGCUUGUUUCUCUCUAAGGCAUUUGAUGACAUGCAAGGAUGCAUGAUCGAUGUUACUACUAACCACUCCAAUUACAUAGUUGUGUUCGAUACUUUGUGUUCAGUUACAUAGUUGUGCUCGAUUAAAGGCUAAACCAGGAGUAGACAGCAAAGUCUUGAAUGCAAGCAGGUGGAGAUGAGGUAUAUAUGCAAGUAGCCGAUCCAAAGGGGUUGACGGCGACGUACUUAUAUAUGGCGCGUUUCCAAUGGCAGCGCAGUCUUCGUUGGGCACCAAACGAAUGAGGAUCUACUGGAGUGAGGUUUCUUGUGAUUUGUAACUGCUUGUGUUGAAUGAAUGAUCCAUGCUCUGUAUUUGACUUGAACUUGGUGACGGCCUGCUCUGUACCAGAACUCCAUAAAUUUUUAUUAUUAUCAUAAAACACCCGUCUUUUCAUUCAUUUAAUGCCAGGUGUUUAUGUUUACAGUCAUUUAGCCAAACAUCAUGGAUUCCCCUCUGGGACAGAUCCCAGGACUGAGAAAGACGCAUCGGUCUCCUUACUUAGUCUCGCUAGUUCAUGAAACUCCAUACAUUUUCCAGAAGCUUAAUUUGGUGCGUUUAUUCAAAAAAUUAAUUUAGUGUAUCUUGUGAUCAAUAUGGGAACUUAUUCACCCACAAGGCAUAUAAAUCUGCUGUCAAAUAUAGAAAAAAAAUUGAAAGUGAAAAAAGGAAGUAUAAUGAAAAAAAAGGAUAAAAUGCAUGUGACGCCAAUACUUAAAGGAACCGAGAACUGAUAUUUAAAAUUUCAACAUUUCAAGUAGAUUUGGGCAAAACUGUGAUGUACCUAGUGCCGCCAUGAAUUGGAACUGUGGCAUUCACAGACCUUAUACUUGUACUAGCAAUCGUGGCCUGCACCAACGCUCUCUUUUUGCUGCUCUAUGCCUCAUUUCCUAGUCCCUCGGAUUUGGCGCACAACUCGUGAUGUUUCCCAGGUACCUGCAACGCCGCAUGAAUUAUGAAUAUGUCUGAUGUGUCCUCGGGCCUGGCAAACCCGAUGUGACUCCUCGUCUACGAAGACUUCAACAACAUAGGUCCCUCAUCCGUCAGGAAUUUAGGACAAAAUUACGGAUCGAAGAGAUUAUAUUUCUUCAAAAAAAUUAGCACCGAGAAGACAAGAAAAAACUGAAACAAAAAUGAUGCCAAAAAAUGGAAAUGUAGAAAUAAAGAAAGAGAAACAAAACCAAAAAUAAAGUGAAAAGUAAAGAAAAGUUCCCCAGCAUUCUUUUCCUAUCAUGUUUUCAGUCUCUCCGAUUCAUAAAACGUCGUUUGGUGUUUUUCAGCCACAAAAGUACUCCAUCCGAUUUAUAAAAAAUGUCGAAUAGUAUAAAAUGGACGCCACUUUUUAUGAAUCGGAGAAAGUAAUAAAUUACAAAUACCUACUCGUCUCCUGUUCAGCCCCUGGUUGAGAAAAUCCUUAAACGAAUUGGUGGGGGGAGGGGUAAGCUCCUGUCUUAUGCUAGGAAGCUGGUUCUCAUCAAAACUUGUUUAGCGAGCAUUCCCAUCUAUCUUUUAUCCUUCUUUAAGUUCCCUAAAUGGGCCCUCAGCCUGAUCAACACCCAGAUGGCAAAUUGACUUUGGAGUGACUAUGAGGGCCAUAGAAAACUGCACCUUGCCAAUUGGCACUUAGUUAGUUCUCAUAAAGAUUUUGGGGGAUUAGGUAUUCCCUGUCUUCGGAGAUGUAAACCUCUGUUUGUUAGGGUCUUGGGUCAAACGAUUCUUCCUAGAUGAGGGGAAGAUCUGGCACACUAUUGUUGGUAGAAAGUACAAUGCUCAUAACCCACACAUCUUCAAUAGUAGAACUACUGGCAUCUCCCGGUUCUGUAAAGGAGUUAUGUGGGCAGCCCAAUCAAUAAAAUUUGGUUAUUGGGUGGGUAAUGGACAACAUGUCAGAUUUUGGGAGGACACCUGGUUUGGUACCUCUCCACUGGCUGUCUAAUUCUUUCCCUUAUAUGAACUCUGUAAUGAACAAUUCAAGAUUGUUGCUUUUAUUUUGGAUGGUCACAACUUAAAACUUACUUUUCGAAGGAAUUUCUCCCCUAGACUUAUGGAGCAGUGUCAUGCUUUAGAACAGAUUGUUUUCAAUACUAUCCUUUCUGAUGACAUUGACUCUGUAAUCUGGAAGUACACAGCUUCUGGUAUUUACUCCACAAGCUCCCUGUACAAAAUUAUUAACUUUUGAGGGGUGACUCCUCUGUUUAUCCCUGCUGUGUGGUCGCUUAAUGCUCCCCCAAAGAUUCACAUCUUUCUCUUGCUGGUCAAUAAAGACAAGAUAAUGACUAGAGAUAACUUGCUAAAAAGACAUAUUCAUAAACCUCUUGAUUGUGUUUUUUGUACCGAAAAUGAAUCUGUCCAUCACUUAUUUUUUGAGUGCAUUGUUGCUAAACACCUUUGGGCCACUGUUUCUACCAUUCUUGGCAGACAUUUGGGGUCUAAUUUUGAGUCUAGUGCCAGUUUAUGGAUUGCCAAUAAAAAGCUAUCUGUUAUCAACAUUUUCUGUGCUGCAGUUCUGUGGAGCAUUUGGACUUUUGGCAAUAGCAUGAUUUUUGAUAACCAACUUUGGAUUUCCUCUAAACAGAUUUGGUGGUUAAUCCUGCAGUCACUCCGGAAAUGGUCGCUGCUGUUCAGAGAUUCUGUGCUGGACAGAGUGGACUCCUUCUGCCAAGAGGUGUCUCGUAUACUGGGGAUGCCUCUGCUACUGCCUUGGAUUUAAGUGUGCCUCUCUCUGGCUCCUCCCCAACUGUUUCUGUGUUACCAGGUACCUUUCCUCCGCCGACGGGCACACCUGAGAUGAAGCUCGUGGUGACGUCGGGCAGCUCGGUUUCAGUCCUUGAACAGGGCUUGACUCCCCAGGCUGGUCUUCUGCAGGGGGAGGUGAUCAGGUCCAAGUUGAGCGAGGUCGUCCGCCAAUUCUCUACUCCGGCCGACGCUACACCAGACCAUAUUUAACGCUCUGCAAAAAUAUGUAGUUCGCUGCUGUGUGCUUAGCUUGUAACCGCCCUCCCUCCCCCCGUCCUGCUGUUCUCUUUUUCAGACUUCUUUACUAUCUUGUUGUUGAGCAUGUUUGUUACAGACCUGUUGAUCUAAAAAAAAAAACUCGUCUCCUGUUAAAAGUAAAACUGAACCCGGGGAAAUUGCCUCUUUAGAUGCCAGCAUGGAGUUAAAACAUGUAUGCGCACCAAACCUCUUAGGUUGCACCAAUGCAUACAAGAAUAUCUACAGCCCUAAUGGCUAACUUAAACCGAGAAAACAUUCUCUCUUUUUUACGAAACAAUAAUCAACGGGUUAUUUAUUGCCAAAGUACGGUCGAAAAAUUUCGACCGCGGAAGAAGUGGGUUUAUAAGAAAAACUGGGCAGAAAACCGAACACAAGAAACACAGAAAAAGAAUAAAAAAACUUGGAAAAUCUUUCCACUUAACCAGACACAAGCAGAUUUCUUUUUUAUUUUUUUGACGAAAAUGCAGAAGCGCUGCCUUUCAUUACUUAAGGGGGAGUUAGAGAUUUAAUUACAAACAUGAAACAACAGAUGAGACGGAGGUGGGGAGCAACUACAGCUGGAGGAAAAAAGGAGCAUGUAACUCGAGAGUGCGAACCCUGUGAAACCACAUUUGCUCAAUCAUCUAAAAGGAGGCGACAACAGCACAACCGGCUGAUUUCCAUGAGAGGAGCUCCUCGCGGGCAUGGUCACAGAGACUCGACAUUGAGCGUUGCUUGGAGUGAAACAUUACGCUCAAGCCAGAGCAUCCACCAACCGAGCAUCACGGCAGCCCUCAGGCGGUUGCGAUGCAAAAUGGAUCGGCAAAGAUGAUCUUCAUUGGACCACCAGUCAGCAGUAGAGCUUCCGGAGAGGUGAGGCGGCGACCGGAUGCGGACGUUGAUCAUGGGGAGGAAAUUGGCCCAGAAUUGAGCUGAGAAGGUGCAAAGCAUGAAAAUCUGAUUGACAGUUUCAGGAGAAGAUCCACGAGCUGGCACGUCGGGUUGUGCGGGAUACCUUUGGUUGCUAAUCUGUCAGCAGACUGAUAUAGAUACAUAUGUUGGCAAUAGUAGUUCUGCAAGUACUCAUCAGAAUCAUAGCCUUGUUUUAUUCGAGUACUCCUCCGCAUCUUAUAGCUUGUGCAGUCCUGCUCCGACAGCUCGCGGAGAUGAACGGAGAGAGGCACCGCGCGAUCGAGAGCCAAGUCGAGGACGAACUGCAGACGAACGCUGCUUACUCGGUCGCGGACAGACGAAGGCAACUGACGACGAGUCGAGUUUACGAACGGCAAGCCUGGGCUCGCCUGUCGUCUCCAAGGUAGAAGCAGCUGCACCCACAGGGGAUCAAAACUAAACAAUUUCCUAUAGUUAAUUUCCUAAUUACACAUGCUAGUCAAGCACAAGACUGGAGGUACUAGAAAUCUGAGUGUUUUCUUUGGUUCCCUCUAAUAUCUCACUUGUUUAUAGAUUCACUCAUUUUUCUCUACACUUAGGUCUGGUCGACAUGGAACAUAAUGUUGGAAGGGUUGCCGUAAAGAUGUUCAGUACUGAAUUUUCUUAUUCGGAAGCUAUAAAUAUCUAGCCCAAGGGGUCUAUAACAAUGCAUUUCCAAUGACUCAAUGACAUCACUUAACUGAAAUUAACGAACUAAUGAAGAAAUCAGAUACGCGUGAAGAAAAGACGCUACAAAACAGGGGUUCAGAAUGGUGCUCCCCAACUAAAUGGAUGGCUCAUGCCCUAGCGGCUACUGGCACAAAGAUGGAACAGCUUCACCAAGCCGUUUGGCACGGUGGUGUUCCUGACUUUGUCCAGAACCUUGCUGUGAGCGAUAUUGUUCAUACAGUUUAAGUAAUGAAAAUAUCCCCAUCUAAAAAAAAAGACGGUUCAUGGUUUUGCUUAUUGGGUUGCUUUUUUGUGUGUGUAUUUUGAUUCUUUCUUUGUGAAUUUAAACUUUGACGACCUUUGAUCCCUAUGACCUGUACAGUUCUUCCUUUAAUCGAAUGACGGAAAUAAACCGUCUUUUCCUCAAGCGAAAAACUUUAAGGACAAACAACAAAGAAAGGAAUUGCCUGCUACGCUGACAAAAAUGAACGACACAAACACUCAUUAUCUGUUCAUCAGAGACUCACAAUCUAUCUGUACCGUCCUUUUAAUAUGGAGCAAAAUCAAUUCCCUAGAUCUGUUUGUUUUACUCUGCAGUAAAAUUUGAGCAAUUCUGCAAUCUUUCCCGUGGGGAAGCAGUAGAGAACAGUCUAAUCUUGAUGUCUAGAAACCAAUAAGAGUUAGGAUGAUUGACAUCGUAAGCCACCAGUGUGUUUGUGGAGUAUUCUGAUAGCCGACGGUGCCGGGAAGCUGGAACCAAAGAUGGAACACGUGGUGCACAGUUCAUGGUCACCGUAUGUCAUAGACAAAAAUAUAUUUUCCGUCUCUCAAUUUAUCAAAAAGUACGCAAAUGGUCUCUUAAUUUUUUUAUAUAAAAGUAAGUCCCCGAAUUGUUAAAACCGGACACUGAUGGUCAAUCAACCAGUCAUGGAUCUACUUGAGUUUUUUCUUGGUUUUUGAGACAAAACUAACGAACUUGAGGUUUAAAAAGAAAUCUAAUACCAACACGCAUGCAACCGUGGGAAUUCAGUGAGAAAAAUCAUGGCACACUGGCACCAAAACCGCUUUAGACGGGUUGAGGGACCAUUGAUGUCUGGUUUUGACUAUUGGGGGACAAAAGUAUAUGAAAAAAGUUUAGAUACCAUUUGCGUACUUCUUGAUAAGUUGAGGGAUGAAAAAUAUACAUUUCUCGUCAUACUAUAACCCAAUCUUUUGUCUGGUUCUUCACUUUUGUAGCGUACAUAUAGGCUUUUUAGUAUUUCAUGUCCCUGGCCUGCGGCCCUGUUUGUUUGGGUUUCAGUUUCAGCUUUUGGUGCUUUUAGCAAUCUCAAAAACACUUCUCAUUUUUACACAUGAAGUGUAAACAGGAGAAGUGAUUUUGGUGCUUCUCAGCUUCAUGUGUAAAUAUGAGAGGUGCUUUUGAGAUUGCUAAGAGCACCAAAAUCUGAAGUAAAACCCAAACAAAUAUAGCGUACAUGUUUUCAUGCUGGGGUGCACAAACCUUAUACGUUUUAAACCAUACCUCAGUAAUUUUACAUGGAAACUAAAUUUCGGGUCGAUGAGCCGGUAAAAUAGAGAAAAUUACCUUAAAACCACCACAUUUGAGACACGUAUCUAAAAAAACCACUUUACUUUUUUUUUAUUUUCAAAUCAUCACCAUUUUUAGGACCGGUACUCCGUUGAUAACCUUCAGAUGCAAAAACUGACAAUGGGAUUCACAUGUGGCGCCACACUGGACAUGCCGUCCGAGCUGUCCCAUCUAUGUCUUGCACAAAUUGGUCCCGUUCCCUUCUCUCUCCGGCGGCCACUGCUCCUGCGGGCUCCGCCGCCCGUCCUCCUCCAUGCCAAGUUGCCCCCGUCUCCAUCUUCUUCCCCUGGCCUUCAUCUCUCUUCUCCUCCCCGAGCUCUUCUUCUCCCCAUCUUCCCUCGUUUUCUCAAGCCGAGCCUGGAGAAGACGACGAGCGCGAAGAUGUGCGUCGCCAUCCCCGUGGUACAGGUCCGCCCGCCAAACGCCACUGCAGGUCCGUCCGUGCGCCGCCUGCAACACGUGCCGCUGCAAAUCAGCUUGUGCGCCGCUCGCUUUCCCGCAGAGCCCAUGCGAUGCCGCCAGCGCUGUUCGCAGAUCCCAUGCGUUGCAGUACCUCCUCCGCCCUUUCGCGCAGAAGCCCAACCCUGGCGCUAUCUCCCUCCCCAGCCACCUCGAGAUCCCGCCGCCACCGCACCAGCCCCCUCGAGACCCCGCCACCGUGGCCGCCCUCGGCUUCGAUCCACGCGAGCUCCAGCCGCCCCGCGUCGGAGCCCGACCCUGGAGCUUCGUGCCCGCCGUUGCGGACGCGCUCUGUACCCGUGGCGAGCCUCCUGACCCAUGCCUCGUCUGACUCGCUGAGGUUCUUGCUGGGCUUGCGUUGGCAGCGCGGGGGCUGUUGAGCGCCUCGGCGCAUGCGCCACCUAACAAAGAAGCUUUGAUUUGGGAGAUUUUGGGGUACCUUUGGUGGGAGGAGAGUCGGGGUUGGGAGGAGGAGACGCAGGCGAGGGCGUCCUCGCCGCCGGCGAAGGAGAUGAAAGCACUGACCUAGAAAAUUGCGGCGGCGGCUUCGUCUGUGAGAGAGACAGAGACAGGGGCAGCCGGUUCAGACCCCUUGUCGAACAUGGCGCCACGUGGCACCGGCAGGUGGGUCUUCAUGUCAGUUUUACCAUCAAAAUGUAUUCAACUGCGAAAUCAGUGCGCGGAGUACCUCCGACCCUCAAAACGUUGGUGAUUUGAAAAAAAAAAUGUGGUUUUCUUAUAGAUGUGCCUCAAAUGUGGUGGUAUUGCGUAAUUUUUUUCGAUAAAAAUAUAAUUAGGAUGAUUGUUUUUAUCUUGCGGCAGAUUGGGUCAAUAUCUCCUUUGUUCACUGUCCCCGUGAAGUUGCCUAUGUGGUCGAUCAGCUUGCGAAAUUCUCCUCUCCUUUGGUUUGGUUUGGUUAGAGCAUCCCUGAUAAUAUUGUACCUCUUCUUUUAAAAGAUGUAACCAUGAUCGAUAAUGAAUAAAAAAGUGAGUACUUUACUUGGUAAAAAACAUAUAACUAGGAUUAGCACUAAUUAAUCGUUACAUUCUAAUUAACUGAAUAUCCGGCCAGUUUAGGUUAACAAGAUUUCCCAAUUCGUUUCCAAAGAUUAUGGUAGUUAAAAUUCCCAAUGAAAAUUAGCCAGAAAUUUAGCCCCGUAUUCAUGUCCCAUGUCUCUUCCCAAAUACCCCAACCGAGUAGCAUCUACAUACCCAAAAAUUCCUCUCAUCUUCAUAUACACCAAUGCUCUAAAUGUAGUCGACCAGCCGAUCCUCCGCUCUUUACUGGCAGCGCAUUCGGAUGCUACGAAGGAGAUGGAGUAGGAGACGGCGGCAGUGCAGACGGUGGCUCCGGAGCAAACGGCGGCGGUGGCGACUGCGAUCGUGCUCCGGCCUCCGACCAGUCGCGACCCCUGCUCGAACCCGGCCCUGAUUUGGAUCUGAUGGAACGGAGGCCCGACCCGCUAUCCCGGCUACUAAUCCAUCCACAUUUUCCAAAAACAUUGUGUUGAUCUUGCUCAUUAGUAGCGUGAUUUGUUUGUUUCACUCCAGUAUCUCACUUCAUUUCUCGAUUUGCUCGCUUGUUUCUGCCUUCGACGAUGACAUGGAUGCAUAUAUGCAUGAUCAUGAUCGAUGUUACAGCAAAAAGCCUUAAAUGUAAGAAGGCGGAGAGGAGGUUCGUGUGAGUAUUAAUAAGUAUCCGAUCCAGAAGUAUUAUGUGGGGCUUGCAACCCAGCCCACCCAGCCCAGUCUUUCUUGGGCACCAAACGAAUGAGGGAUCCGCUGGAGUGAUGUUUCUUCUGUUUGGUAACUGCUGCGUGAACGAAUGAAUGAAUGAUCCAUGCUCUGCAUUUAACCUGGUGCCCUAAUAGGUACCAGAACUUCAUACAUUUUCUAGAAGCUUAAUUUGGAGCAUUUAUUCAAAAAUAUAAUUUUGUGUGUGUCUUGCAAUCAAUAUGGGAAUUCAUUCACCCACAAGGCAUGUAUUGACAGAUCUAGGAAAAGAAAGUGGAAAGUGAAAAAGGAAAAAAAAUAGUAUAAUGCAAAAUAGGAUAAAAUGGUGGCGCCCGCACCCAAAUUGUGAUGUCAAUACUUAAAACAACCGAGGGUAUAUAAAUUUUAAAAAUUUCAAGGAGAUUUUGGCAAAGCUGUGAUGUACCUUGCCAGGAAUACGUUUGAACUCAGAAGUACUUCAGGAAUUAAAUCAUUCAUCAACACUCAGGAAAUGAUUUUUUAUUAUAAACUAUUUGUUUCCAGGGUAAUUUUGAAUUGUUUCUUCUUCUUCUUCUUCUUCUUCUUCUUCUAUUUUACUGUUCUGCGUUGUAAUAAUAUCCAAAGACUUCAUGCUGCAACCGUAGUCUGCACCAGCACCAGCACUCCCUUUCGCUGCUGAUCUACGCCACAAUCGUAUUGGAGGCCUCAUUUGCUAGUCCCCGCCCUUCUAGGCGCUCUCGUCACUGCCUGCCCGCGGUCGGCACUAGGGGGUGUGUGGCCAUCUUCUGGAACUCCGACAUCGUCGACAUUUCGAACCCGCAAGUUCUCCCAUUCUCGAUCACGGCCGUCGUCACCAUCAUCCACACUGGCGUUGCUUUCAUUCUUUCCACCGUCUACGGUUCCUCGGACGGGCUUGAGGACGACGCGCUCAAGCCCGCAUUUCUCCAGGAAAUGCGGGACAUCUCGCCGGGGCCCGGAACACCGUGGCUCAUCGCCGGUGAUUUCAACCUCAUUUACGAAGCCUGCGACAAGAACAACCUCAAUCUUUGCAGGCGUCUCAUGGGUCGAUUCCGCGCGGCUAUUGACCAGGCUGAGAUUUUUGAGAUCCGCUGCUCUAACCGGCGCUUCUCAUGGAGCAAUGAACAAGCGCGCCCUACUGUAGUGAAGCUUGAUCAUCUCUUCUGCAACGCGGCUUGGGACGGCCUCUUCGCGCCCUGCGCCGUGCAAGCUCUCUCCACAGCGCACUCUGACCACUGUCCCCUCCUCCUUGCCUGUUUCUCCCUGCCCUCGCAUGGCGCGUUUUAGAUUCGAGAACUUCUGGACAAAGCACCCCGGAUUCAGCGAGACUGUGAUCACGGUUUGGUCAGAAGAUGUACGCUCGACCAAUCCUCUUCGGCAGCUCCACAUCAAGCUCCGCCGCACUACUCGUGCUCUUCGCUCCUGGAGCAAGAGCCUCUUCAGCGACGCCCGCCUUCAGCUCUUCCUUGCUCUGGAGAUUGUGUUUCGGCUCGACACCGCGCAGGACCUCCGCUGCCUCACGCCCCUGGAAUUCCACCUGCGUCGAGCGCUCAAGGCUAGGGUGUUGGGGUUGGCCGCCGUCGAGCGUGCGCGUCGGCGUCAGGCCUCCCGACAGGUCUAGCUCAAGAAGGGCGACGCGAACACCCGGUUCUUCCACAUCAAGAUCAAUUCGCGAAGACGCAGGAACUUUCUGCACCAGAUCACCACCGACUCUGGCAUCCAUGUUGCGCACGAUGACAAGGCCCAUGCGCGUCUGCAGCACUUCACCGGCGUCCUCGGUGCCACGGCUCCGCGCUCCCGUGCGCUGGCAUGGCAGGAGCUCAAUCUGCCCACGAUCCCGGCGGCUGGGCUUGACAAUCCCUUCUCCCUUGGCGAGAUUUGGGAUGCCAUCGUCGCCUCUCCGGCGGAGAAGGCGCCGGGACCGGACGGGUUCACCGGCUCCUUCUACCGGACCUGCUGGGCGACGAUCAAGCUCGAUGUACUUGCUUCCUUUAACCACCUGUUUCGGCUGGCUGGCGGGGAUUUCGGCGCCCUCAACUCUGCCUUCAUCCCCCUGCUCCCCAAAAGGAUCACGUCUCCUCGGUGCACGAUCUACGCCCCAUCAGCCUCAUCCACUCCUUCGCGAAGCUCUUCUCCAAGGUGCUUGCCCGCCGCCUCACGCCGCUGAUGGGCGAUCUCAUCUCGCCGGCGCAGAGUGCGUUCCUCAAGUCCCGCUGCAUCAGAAAUAUUGCUCGCGCUCUACACCAUCAGAAGAAACCGGCCCUCCUCAUCAAAUCGACUUCGCCAAGGCCUUUGACUCCGUCUCGUGGGAAUACUUGCAGGAGCUCAUGCAGCGACAAGGGUUCCUUGCUAGAUGGCGAGACUGGACCGCGCUCUUACUCUCGGCGGCAUCCUCCUCCGUGCUGCUGAACGGGACCGUCGGCGAGCCGAUCUUGCACCGGCGUGGGCUGCAUCAGGGGGACCCGUUGUCCCCCCUUCUGUUCAUUCUUGCCAUUGAUCCGUUGCAGCGGCUCCUCCCGUGCCACGAAGCUAGGAGGCCUCACGCCGCUUCCGAUGCACCAGGCCGCUCUGUGCGCUAGCCUCUACGCUAAUGAUGCCAUCGUUUUCAUCAACCCCAUUCGCGACGAGCUCCACCUCCUUCUGUGGAACCUCGAGGACUUCGGUCACGCCAGGGGUCUGCGCAUCAACAUUGCCAAAAGCGUUGUCACCCCCAUCUGCUGCGACAACAUUGACCUUGACGACAUCCUUCAGCCGUUCGCCGGCGAGCGGGUGGCAUUCCCGUUCCGGUAUCUCGGGCUCCCUCUCUCGCUCGGGAGGGUGAGCCUCUUGCACCUUUAGCCCAUCCUAGACCGUGCCCGCGCCCGGCUAGUUGGAUGGAAGGGCCACUGGCUCAGCGCCGGUGGGCGACGGACUCUGUCCAUCGCUGUCCUUGGCGCCCUCCCCGUCUUUGCCAUGACAGCUCUCAAGCUUCCCAAGGCCUUCAUCAACACCUUCAACAAGAUCCGACGUCGCUUCAUCUAGGGCGUGGAGGAUGACGAGUGCGCCGGCGGCAAGUGUAAGAUCAACUGGGCCAGGGCGUGCUCCCCGUUGGAUUGUGGUGGGCUCGAUUUGCCAAACCUGGAGGCGUUCGGUAGGGCGCUGCGCUUGCACUGACUUUGGCUUGAGUGGCCGGCUCCGGACAGAUCAUGGGUCGGCACGCCCACGCCUUGCGACGCCCUUGACUGCGACAUGUUCUAUGCGGCCACCCAGGUCUCCAUCGACAAUAGCAUCACGGCCAGUUUUUGGUGCUCCAACUGGAUUGGCGGGCGGCCCCUGCGCCUCGCCUACCCUAUGCUCUUUACGUGCUCUCGCCGCAAAGGGAGGACGGUGGAACAGGCCAGCACCGGAAAUCGUUGGAUCCUCGACCUGCCUAAUGAUCGGUCCCUGCCUUUUCUCUCUGAAUUCCUCCUGGCGUGGGGAGAGCUACAUCAGGCCAUCUCCCUCCGGCCUGCUGUGCCGGACGCCAUUCGUUGGAUCCUCACGGCCGAUGGCAACUACUCGGCACGCUCCGCGUAUGGGCUGCACUUUCUGGGUCAGACCGCCUCCGAGCUGCCGCAGGCGGUAUGGCGGGUCUGGGCGCCGCUGAAGCACAAAUUUUUUGCCUGGCUCCUCUUCCUUGAUCGGCUCUGGUGCGCUGACCGGCUGCAGCGGCGAGGAUGGCCCAAUUGCUACUUCUGCCCACUUUGCCGCCGCAACCUGGAGACUUCGGUGCACCUCUUCAUCGAGUGCCCUUUUGCCAGUCUGCUAUGGGAGGAGAUCGUAUGCUAGCCCAACUGUCGCGCCCUUGCAACGGCUCUCCGCGAGACGCCUACCUCCAUCACCCUCUUCCAAGACCGGGUGACUCAGGACACCGCGAUCAGUCACAGAAACGGCAUCGGCUCCCUCUUCCUCCUCGUCUACUUCUCCAUCUGGCGCGAACGAAAUGCAAGGAUUUUCAACGACAGAUCAACGCAUGUUCGUCAGCUCGCCGUUUUCAUCAGGGACGAGGCGCAGGAAUGGGCGUUCGUGGGGGCUAAGGCUCUCAGGAAUCUUCUUUGGGAGCCGCCCUGAGCUUGAGGGGUUUUUGGGCCUUCAUUUUUUAAUUUCGCUCUUGUUUCCCCUUUACCUGUGUGGUAGCCUUGUAUAUAUUCUCUUCUGCUAAUAUAUGAAAAGCCAGCGCUUGCUGGAUCUUUAAAAAAAAUGCUAGUCCCUCGGGCAUGGCGUAUUGGUAAAACUGGUAGGUAUCUUCAUCACCGACUUGUCCCUAGGCCUGGCAAAUUCGACGUGAUGCCUCUUCUAUGAUGACUUCCCUCGUAGUCAAAAACAUUUUUUUGGAGUAUCACCGAAGGGCAGUUUUGACUUUUCAUAUUUCCACAUAAUUAAAAGAACUAAAAAAUCAGAGUUCGACGGGCUCUGUCCUGAUUCCAGCCCGCAACCGCCGCCGCCCUCUGCUCUACUUCAACGCCAGCAUGUUCGUGCAUGAGUUGAGCAUGGCCAUGGCCAUGGCGCUUCUCGAGAGGCUCGUCAUCACCGACCAGACCCGUUCGCGGAGCAGGAUUUCCUCAGUGUUCUUCAGGGAAUAGUUAAUGGAUCUGUAGCUACCUCUGUUUCUUGAUUAUUGGUUGAUUAAUUGAUUACGGGUCGAAGCCGUGGAGAUUUACGGGGGAGGAGGAGAACAUGGAGAGGGAGGAUGUGAAGAUGCCGGUGAAGAAAUGGUGGAUGCGUACAACGACGAGAGACUCCACUCCGAUUGAUGCGAGAGCCAGCGCUGCAGCCAUUCUCGUGGGUCGCGGCCCCUGUCCUACCAGCACGCCGCGGUGUCGCUGCCACAUCCCCAUCCCGUGGCCGCUGCCUCCGCCCUCUCAGCCCGCGCCGCCGUCGGCCUCACAGCCUUCCCAGCCGGUGGUGCUGUCCUCCAAGGCUCCAAGGGCGCACUGCCGUCGCCGUCUCAGCCGUCGGUCGCCGCUGCCGUCUGAGUAUUCCGGCGAACAGAAAAGGAAAUUGUCGUUUUCUGUUUCCGCCGAUUUUUGUCUGUCUCUUACGUUUCUACCCCUGGCUUCAGCCUCCUUCUUUUCGGUUUCUAGGAUGGGCUUCUCCAAGAAGCUGCUCUCACCCAGCUUCCGCAUGUGAAACUUAGCAAAAAAUUUAGGACGGCUUCUCCUGGAAGCUUGGGGAGAGCAACUUCUCCGAGAAGCCCAUCCUGGAAGCUGAAAAAAAGGGGGCCAAUACUCCGUCUUGGUUGAGGAUUGUUGUAGUAAAAUAAAAUUCUUAAAUGGGCCGGGCCGUAAAUCCUACGUGGCGACGACCAAGUCAACAUUUCCCGACCAUGAGUCAAGACGCCCACGUGACGCGGUCAAUCCUACGUGGCAAAGGAAGACAAGUCAACAAUUCAAAGCCUCUCAUGCCAUGGUCAAAAGGUCAAAUGAGGUAGAGUAGGAGGCAAGAAAGGUGUGAGGAGGGGGCCCUUAGUCCAUGGUGGACCAUUGACCAAUCCCCUCUUUUCCCCAUGUUGCACACAAAAGCUAUGGAUCAAAGGAGCUACUUUUACCACUUUACCCCCACUUUUCUCUCUCCCUCAAGGGUAGUCAUGGUCUUUUGUCAUGGACCUCUAGGCUAUAAAUACCUCUCAUGGGGGCAUGUAUUAUUCACUCUCAACUUGAAUAAACUCAAGGAGAGAGGGCUAGAGCCUCUAGCAAAGAGCUCUAGUUUCGAGAUCCAGGAAGACUCGUUCGGGCCGGACUCGAAGGAGAAGGGGUUGGGUUAGAGUUCCGAGGGUAUCCUAACCUCGAUACUUGGAAAGACGCGUUCGGUCCAAGUACGAGACGGCCCCGACGAACCUCUUGCCAAAAGGUGUCUUGGGAAGAUCCUCUCGGCCCAAGCCCUUGGCUAACAACCCCCUCGAAGCCUUUCCUAACAUAGGAUUAAGUCGCACCCGCAGGGUUGACCGAACCUAUGCAAAAAAUAUCGACGUGUCAACUUGUCCAAGUGUACGACGACCUUCGCUAUAAGGUUGGCGUACACGCCCUACUUUUAUACCCGCACUUGUGCCAUUGAUCAUUGGCACCCUUUACUCUAAUUGUUGUCGAGAACAACAACAAGGAUAAUACUCCGCAGAUCUAAAUUGGAGUGUUAAGGAGUACUGGCUAAUCUGUGCCCUUAGAUUGGAAAAAAGGACGGUCCAAAUUAAUUUUAGGGUACUGUAAUCUUGAAUUUUUUUUUGAUACAUUAACACAUGAACAUAUUUCAUGAAACAAAUAAACAUUUAAACAUUUGCGUACGUCCUACAUGAAAACUUUAAAAAGUUCAUUUUCAAGAGACAGGUGAAUUGGUGUGCACUUAGUUUUGGUCAGGCAGGGAACAGGCCAUGAUCAUCCUCGUAUAUAGAAAAUUAAGUAACUAACAGAAAAAAACCCAAAGAAGAACCAAGAUUGAGAGCAGUGUCACAUCGAUUUUGUUUGAAAAAUUUGUGCCACAUGUUGGCUUGAACCCUCGUCAUAUAGACCUUGUUGCGGCAACCAUGUUAUGCCAUAGCUAAUGCUGUCACAUCCACUCAAGUUCCCUCUGAUGCAGAAAAAGUGGUUAAAUGCAGUUUUUUUAAUAGCUUGUUACAAUAACCCUCGGUUCAAGCAUGCUUCAUUUUGUUUCACUCCAAUGUCUGCUUUAAUUUUUUUCACUGGGUCACAGUAUCUUCCAGACCUCGAUAAAAGGAACUACCACGAUCAACCUUACAAAAAAAACAAAAUGGUUUUGGUAAAGCUAGCUACGAACAUAUCUUUUAGAGUGAAUUCCAUUUUUGACCUCCAAGUUUUUUGAUUUGGGCUUGUUGUUACGGUAUGACUGAAAAAUUGUGGUUUUCGGACAAAUUAGCAAAAGCGAGCACCACGUGAGAAGACUGUCACGAAAUGUGUGGUUUUUGUGAAAUUUACUCUUAACUAAUCAUCCCAGAACAAAAGAAGAGAGUUAACGUUUUGAAGCAUUAUGUAGAACAUGUAAAGUACAGAACUGUAGUCUGGUGUAGAGUAAAAUCAACAAAGUGCCCUCUCGCAGAUCUGUUUAAUGACGGCGGUGAUCAUUGACGGUUCAGAGAUUUGUAAUCCUUUCAUCGAUAAUAGCAAACCUGGUCCAGCCUUCAGGAACCAAAUUUGUGGAACUAACAGAAGGAAAGAAACAAAUUCCGAUCCAAACUAACUAAUUUCCCAAGUUAAUUGCUAACUACCGGAGCUCUGGCAAGCCAAGACAGGAGCUGCUCUACGGAAAACCAUGGGGUAGUUCUGCUACAAAUCUGCGUGUUUUGUUUGGUUCACUCCAAUAUCUCAUUUGUUUGUAGAUUCAGUAUUUUUUCUAUGCAUUGAUGUCAUGUUGACGUGGAACAUAUUGUUGAAAGGAUUGCCAUAAAGAUGCAUUUCUUGAUUUGGAAUUUAUAAAUAUCAAGUCCAAGAGGUCUAUGACAAUGCAUUUCCAAUGACUCAAUGACAUGCUUCACACCAAUUGGAUGAGGCUCACAAGGAUAAAGUUACUGAACUAGAGAAGAAUUCAGACAUGCGUGAAGACAAGAUUCACUACAAACAGGGGAAUGGAUGUGUGCAUCUAUUGAUACAAAGGCCGAGGAUCAUUUUCCUUUUUCGAAAAAAAAACUACAAACAGGGGUUCGGAAUGAUGCUCCCCAACCAAAUGGAAUGGUUCAUGAUAUGCUUAUUGGUUCGUUUUUUGCGUGUAUGUAUUUUCGGCGGCGGACCCAGAGCAAGGGGUAUGCGUGCAGUCCCUUUAAAACUUUGAUUAUUUCACAAAAAAAAUCACAAUCUAUUUGCCGUACGUUUUACUCUACAGUAAAAUCAAUAGAUUCAUGUUUUACUCUGAAAGUAAGGUUUUAGGAUGUUCCCGAUCUAUUCCCUAGAUUUACUCUACCAGCCUGUUUGGCAACCAAGAAUUCCGGCUUCAAAAUCAUGCUUAUCUACUAAAUGGAAUUGUAGAGUGAGAGACAUUUUCAUAAAAGUGAUGGCUUUUCGAGAGGAAUUGGAAUUAUACUGUGAUUUCAUGAAAUUUGAGAUUGAAUUCCUAUGACCAAUUUCGUGCCACCAAACAAAACAUUCACUACGCACCACCGCGCUUACUAAAUCAUAGGUUCAAUGGAGAUUGGAGAUAAAUGGACACCGCAACACCUCCUUGUUGGCCUAGAUGGCUAGAUCGUUCUCCACCGUGCUCGUCCAGCCGCAGGCAAUCUCCGGCGGCCGUUUCUCUCUGCAAUCUCCCGCCGGCCGGCCGUGUGGGUGAGUAAUUAAUCUGGACUCGCACACACCUAGAGCUGCAAAUUUUUGACUCUCAGGGUAUCCUUUGACCCUCUUUAGUUCAACCAAAUGAACUAUUGACACCCAUCAUUUGGGCAUAAAAUUAUAGAAUUCAUUUUGAAUUCUAAAAAACAACUUGUUUGGUUGGCACGGAAUUAGCCAAAAGAAUUCAAUCUCAAAUUUCUUAAAAUCACACUAUAACUAGCCUCAAUUCCUCUCUAAAAGCCAUCAUUUUUCUAGAAUUUUCUCUCACUCUUCAAUUCCACGUGGUAGACAAACAUGAUUUUUCAACUCGGAAUUCAAAUUCAAUCAAAUGAAAUCCUAUUAAAAAUUGAAUUUUAUUUCGUUUUGAUCAAAUGAAAUGAAUUAUUGGUUGCCAAACAAGCCGUGAAAUUUUAAAAUGACACAACUUUUAAAAAAACUAGUGCAUUUGUUUGAACUAAGGAGAGUCAGUGGGUACCCUGAGCGUCAAAAAUUUGCAGCCCUGCACACACCAUACAGAAACAAAAACGCACCACAAAUUAAUCCAAGCUUCGUGUAAGUACUAUUCAAAUCUUUCCUAGCAGCUUGUCCAAUCGAGAAACUAAUCAACAGUGGCGGAGCAUUAACUCAUGCCACUUUGGGUCUUCCGAUCUUGCCCCCUAAGCAAAAAAACAUAAUGCUAGUAAGAUUUGCUACUUCGAUCUGAUGGAAUUCAUCCUUGGAUGAUUUAGUAGAACGGACAGUCUAUGUUGAUUUGUACCUGACGUAUACUGUAAAAGACCUCUUCCCUAUAUCUAAUUUAUUAUUUGUGCCGACAUGACACGAACAAAAGCAGUCGUGUCCUAAGUGGAGCCAUGUGCUAAUUUCGCUCCAAACUUACAUGUUCUGUUUGGUUCACUCCAGCAUCUCACUCGUUUGUCUAACACUGAGGUCUGGUCGACAUGGAACACAAUGGUGAAAGGGUUGACAAGAAAACGUAUGUCAUAAUUCAGAAGCCAUAAAUAUGCAGUCCAAGGGGUCCAUAACAAAUGUAUUUCCAAUGAGCCAAUGAACUCGUUGCCACCAAACAUGUGAGGCUCACACGGAUGAAAUGAGCCUCACACGGAUGAAAUGAGCCAAUGAAGAUAUCAAACAAGUGUGAAGAGUACAAGACCCUAUAAAACGUGGGUUAAGAAUGAUGCUCAGCUAAAUGGAUGAAUCAUGGAUAGUCAUUCUCUUAUAAUCUGUUCUUUCUUUCUUAAUUUGAAAAUUGACAUGCAAGUAGUCAUGGACCUCUUAGCUUACAAAAUAAAUCUGGGUUGUGUGGAGCCUAUAAUCAAAAAACAAAUAGUGUCAACUCACAACGAAUGCCGAGCAUGCCACUCAAUUACCUCCAAUAUGGUGCCAAAGAUUUGUUGGUUCGGUUCUAUUCAGAAAGGCAGACAUAUGCUGAGAAGGCUGAUCGACAGAGCAUGUUGCUGCACAUCGACCAUAAUAAAAGAAAAUUACUACUCCUACUUCAAAAAAAAUAAAAUCAAAACUCUCAUUGUCUAAAGCACCAAAAACAUUAAAAGAAAAUUACUACCAUUGACCUUCCUCUAGCCUCCGGCAGAAAGAGGAACAUGUAUGUAUAUUAAAAGAAAAUAUGCUAUUUGAAAAUACGUCACACGAGUUUUAUUAUGGAUGAAUCAUGUAGCUUACAAAACAAAUCUGGGCUGAGGAGCCUAUUAUCGACAAAUAAAGAGUGGAUUCCAUUUUUUAUCUCAUAGUUUCACUUUUGUGACACAAAUUACCCAAUUUAGUGAAAUUUCCAUAACUUUAUCCCAUUUAGUAAAACUUGUGCCACUUUCUACCUCAUUUAUUUUUUUUCUCAGUUUUCUCCCAGUCAUAAAACGUUGGACCCACAUCGGAGGCGUUCUCUUGAUUUAUUUUCUAGAGCCGGACUGCUGGGACUUGUCAAAUGCACACCACGCCGGACCCGGUCGGCUCGUCUAACGUCGAUUCGGGGAUUUCAAUGGCGGCGACGACGUGGAUUCGGAGGAAGCCAAGGCGGCGGCGGCGGGAUCCGAAGCAGGCCGACCAGGUGGUUGCCGCGUUGUUUAGCACUUUAGCCGGGGCGACGAGCCGCACGA